Molecule: ribosomal RNA, 623 nt
Filed under: uncultured bacterium
Lineage: Bacteria
Description: bacterial SSU rRNA
Rfam family: Bacterial small subunit ribosomal RNA
Source: RNAcentral
GUCGAGCGGUAACAUUUCUAGCUUGCUAGAAGAUGACGAGCGGCGGACGGGUGAGUAAUGCUUGGGAAUAUGCCUUAUGGUGGGGGACAACAGUUGGAAACGACUGCUAAUACCGCAUAAUGUCUACGGACCAAAGGGGGGGAUCUUCGGACCUCUCGCCAUUUGAUUAGCCCAAGUGAGAUUAGCUAGUUGGUGAGGUAAUGGCUCACCAAGGCGACGAUCUCUAGCUGGUUUGAGAGGAUGAUCAGCCACACUGGGACUGAGACACGGCCCAGACUCCUACGGGAGGCAGCAGUGGGGAAUAUUGCACAAUGGGCGCAAGCCUGAUGCAGCCAUGCCGCGUGUGUGAAGAAGGCCUUCGGGUUGUAAAGCACUUUCAGUAAGGAGGAAAGGGAUGUAGUUAAUAACUGCAUUCUGUGACGUUACUUACAGAAGAAGCACCGGCUAACUUCGUGCCAGCAGCCGCGGUAAUACGAGGGGUGCAAGCGUUAAUCGGAAUUACUGGGCGUAAAGCGUUCGUAGGCGGUUGAUUAAGCAAGAUGUGAAAGCCCAGGGCUCAACCUUGGAACUGCAUUUUGAACUGGUCAACUAGAGUACUGUAGAGGGUGGUGGAAUUUCCAGUG